CCUACGGGAGGCAGCAGUGAGGAAUAUUGGUCAAUGGGCGGGAGCCUGAACCAGCCAAGCCGCGUGAGGGAAGAAGGUACAGCGUAUCGUAAACCUCUUUUGUCAGGGAAUAAAGGCGGGGACUAGUCCCCGGAUGAGGGUACCUGAAGAAAAAGCAUCGGCUAACUCCGUGCCAGCAGCCGCGGUAAUACGGAGGAUGCGAGCGUUAUCCGGAUUUAUUGGGUUUAAAGGGUGCGCAGGCGGCGUGUUAAGUCAGCGGUGAAAGCCCCGGGCUCAACCCCGGGGAGCCCCGUUGAUACGGCCGGGCUGGAAUGCGGAGGAAGUGGGAGGAAUGCGUGGUGUAGCGGUGAAAUGCUUAGAUA
RNAcentral lists this ribosomal RNA (362 nucleotides) under uncultured bacterium. RNAcentral describes it as "partial 16S ribosomal RNA". It matches the Rfam family "Bacterial small subunit ribosomal RNA", at positions 338 to 696 of the family's 1533-position model. The record is from RNAcentral.